AGGCUGGUUUUCCAGGCAAAUCCGGAAAAUCAAGGCUGAGGCGUGAUGACGAGGCACUACGGUGCUGAAGCAACAAAUGCCCUGCUUCCAGGAAAAGCCUCUAAGCAUCAGGUAACAUCAAAUCGUACCCCAAACCGACACAGGUGGUCAGGUAGAGAAUACCAAGGCGCUUGAGAGAACUCGGGUGAAGGAACUAGGCAAAAUGGUGCCGUAACUUCGGGAGAAGGCACGCUGAUAUGUAGGUGAAGUCCCUCGCGGAUGGAGCUGAAAUCAGUCGAAGAUACCAGCUGGCUGCAACUGUUUAUUAAAAACACAGCACUGUGCAAACACGAAAGUGGACGUAUACGGUGUGACGCCUGCCCGGUGCCGGAAGGUUAAUUGAUGGGGUCAGCGCAAGCGAAGCUCUUGAUCGAAGCCCCGGUAAACGGCGGCCGUAACUAUAACGGUCCUAAGGUAGCGAAAUUCCUUGUCGGGUAAGUUCCGACCUGCACGAAUGGCGUAAUGAUGGCCAGGCUGUCUCCACCCGAGACUCAGUGAAAUUGAACUCGCUGUGAAGAUGCAGUGUACCCGCGGCAAGACGGAAAGACCCCGUGAACCUUUACUAUAGCUUGACACUGAACAUUGAGCCUUGAUGUGUAGGAUAGGUGGGAGGCUUUGAAGUGUGGACGCCAGUCUGCAUGGAGCCGACCUUGAAAUACCACCCUUUAAUGUUUGAUGUUCUAACGUGGACCCGUGAUCCGGGUUGCGGACAGUGUCUGGUGGGUAGUUUGACUGGGGCGGUCUCCUCCUAAAGAGUAACGGAGGAGCACGAAGGUUGGCUAAUCCUGGUCGGACAUCAGGAGGUUAGUGCAAUGGCAUAAGCCAGCUUGACUGCGAGCGUGACGGCGCGAGCAGGUGCGAAAGCAGGUCAUAGUGAUCCGGUGGUUCUGAAUGGAAGGGCCAUCGCUCAACGGAUAAAAGGUACUCCGGGGAUAACAGGCUGAUACCGCCCAAGAGUUCAUAUCGACGGCGGUGUUUGGCACCUCGAUGUCGGCUCAUCACAUCCUGGGGCUGAAGUAGGUCCCAAGGGUAUGGCUGUUCGCCAUUUAAAGUGGUACGCGAGCUGGGUUUAGAACGUCGUGAGACAGUUCGGUCCCUAUCUGCCGUGGGCGCUGGAGAACUGAGGGGGGCUGCUCCUAGUACGAGAGGACCGGAGUGGACGCAUCACUGGUGUUCGGGUUGUCAUGCCAAUGGCACUGCCCGGUAGCUAAAUGCGGAAGAGAUAAGUGCUGAAAGCAUCUAAGCACGAAACUUGCCCCGAGAUGAGUUCUCCCUGACCCUUUAAGGGUCCUGAAGGAACGUUGAAGACGACGACGUUGAUAGGCCGGGUGUGUAAGCGCAGCGAUGCGUUGAGCUAACCGGUACUAAUGAACCGUGAGGCUUAACCUUACAACGCCGAAGGUGUUU
This 1446-nucleotide ribosomal RNA is filed under the name Escherichia coli. RNAcentral's name for it is "partial 23S ribosomal RNA". It matches the Rfam family "Bacterial large subunit ribosomal RNA", at positions 1522 to 2925 of the family's 2925-position model. Lineage: Bacteria; Pseudomonadati; Pseudomonadota; Gammaproteobacteria; Enterobacterales; Enterobacteriaceae. The record is from RNAcentral.